GUGGGGAAUAUUCCGCAAUGGACGAAAGUCUGACGGAGCAACGCCGCGUGAGUGAUGAAGGUUUUCGGACUGUAAAGCUCUGUUGUUUAGGACGAAAGUGCCUGUUGCGAAUAGUUACAGGUAUUGUCGGUACUGAACGAGGAAGCCACGGCUAACUACGUGCCAGCAGCCGCGGUAAUACGUAGGUGGCAAGCGUUGUCCGGAAUUAUUGGGCGUAAAGAGCAUGUAGGCGGGAAUCUAAGUCUGUUGUGAAAAUGCGGGGCUCAACCCCGUAUUGCGAUGGAAACUGGGUUUCUUGAGUGCAGGAGAGGAAAGGGGAAUUCCCAGGGUAGCGGUGAAAUGCGUAGAUAUUGGGAGGAACACCAGUGGCGAAGGCGCCUUUCUGGACUGUGUCUGACGCUGAGAUGCGAAAGCCAGGGUAGCGAACGGGAUUAGAAACCCGUGUAGUCC
RNAcentral lists this ribosomal RNA (450 nucleotides) under uncultured bacterium. Its description in RNAcentral is "partial 16S ribosomal RNA". It matches the Rfam family "Bacterial small subunit ribosomal RNA", at positions 354 to 796 of the family's 1533-position model. The record is from RNAcentral.